RNAcentral lists this ribosomal RNA (1244 nucleotides) under Microbacterium sp. 304. RNAcentral describes it as "bacterial SSU rRNA". It matches the Rfam family "Bacterial small subunit ribosomal RNA", at positions 68 to 1323 of the family's 1533-position model. The record is from RNAcentral. Lineage: Bacteria; Bacillati; Actinomycetota; Actinomycetes; Micrococcales; Microbacteriaceae.
GUGAGGGAGAGCUUGCUCUCUGGAUCAGUGGCGAACGGGUGAGUAACACGUGAGCAAUCUGCCCCUGACUCUGGGAUAACAGUUGGAAACAGCUGCUAAUACCGGAUACGAGCUUCGAAGGCAUCUUCAGAAGCUGGAAAGAACUUCGGUCAGGGAUGAGCUCGCGGCCUAUCAGCUAGUUGGUGAGGUAAUGGCUCACCAAGGCGUCGACGGGUAGCCGGCCUGAGAGGGUGACCGGCCACACUGGGACUGAGACACGGCCCAGACUCCUACGGGAGGCAGCAGUGGGGAAUAUUGCACAAUGGGCGCAAGCCUGAUGCAGCAACGCCGCGUGAGGGACGACGGCCUUCGGGUUGUAAACCUCUUUUAGCAGGGAAGAAGCGAAAGUGACGGUACCUGCAGAAAAAGCGCCGGCUAACUACGUGCCAGCAGCCGCGGUAAUACGUAGGGCGCAAGCGUUAUCCGGAAUUAUUGGGCGUAAAGAGCUCGUAGGCGGUUUGUCGCGUCUGCUGUGAAAACUGGAGGCUCAAACCUCCAGCCUGCAGUGGGUACGGGCAGACUAGAGUGCGGUAGGGGGAGAUUGGAAUUCCUGGUGUAGCGGUGGAAUGCGCAGAUAUCAGGAGGAACACCGAUGGCGAAGGCAGAUCUCUGGGCCGUAACUGACGCUGAGGAGCGAAAGGGUGGGGAGCAAACAGGCUUAGAUACCCUGGUAGUCCACCCCGUAAACGUUGGGAACUAGUUGUGGGGUCCAUUCCACGGAUUCCGUGACGCAGCUAACGCAUUAAGUUCCCCGCCUGGGGAGUACGGCCGCAAGGCUAAAACUCAAAGGAAUUGACGGGGACCCGCACAAGCGGCGGAGCAUGCGGAUUAAUUCGAUGCAACGCGAAGAACCUUACCAAGGCUUGACAUAUACGAGAACGGGCUAGAAAUAGUCAACUCUUUGGACACUCGUAAACAGGUGGUGCAUGGUUGUCGUCAGCUCGUGUCGUGAGAUGUUGGGUUAAGUCCCGCAACGAGCGCAACCCUCGUUCUAUGUUGCCAGCACGUAAUGGUGGGAACUCAUGGGAUACUGCCGGGGUCAACUCGGAGGAAGGUGGGGAUGACGUCAAAUCAUCAUGCCCCUUAUGUCUUGGGCUUCACGCAUGCUACAAUGGCCGGUACAAAGGGCUGCAAUACCGUAAGGUGGAGCGAAUCCCAAAAAGCCUGUCCCAGUUCGGAUUGAGGUCUGCAACUCGACCUCAUGA